This 72-nucleotide transfer RNA is filed under the name Camelus dromedarius (Arabian camel). It matches the Rfam family "tRNA". Rfam says of the family: Transfer RNA (tRNA) molecules are approximately 80 nucleotides in length. The record is from Rfam by way of RNAcentral. Lineage: Eukaryota; Metazoa; Chordata; Mammalia; Artiodactyla; Camelidae. RNAcentral also lists the same sequence under 1 other name.
AGGGAUAUCACUCAGUGGUAGAGCAUAUGCUUAGCAUGCACUAGGUCCUGGGUUCAAUCCCCAGUACCUCUA